Molecule: transfer RNA, 65 nt
Filed under: Desulfocurvibacter africanus subsp. africanus str. Walvis Bay
Lineage: Bacteria; Pseudomonadati; Thermodesulfobacteriota; Desulfovibrionia; Desulfovibrionales; Desulfovibrionaceae
Description: tRNA-Und (NNN) (tRNA-Und-NNN-3-1)
Source: RNAcentral
GUCAAGGUGUGGGAACUUGAAUGGGGUUCAAGGGGCCGGAGGUUCAAAUCCUCUCAUCCCGACCA